GCCCAAUGAUGAGACCAAGGCGAAUACGAGCUCACUGAAUGAGAGUUGGGUUCUUCUUGCCUUGACUGGCAGGUAAUCUUGGUAGUGCAGGGGAGGAUUCCUGCUCUGCUGUAAGGGCCUGCCUACAGUGAUUUGGCUCUACCCCAAAUUAUUCCCUUAAAGUUACAGUGGAGUAGUCACGGGGAUGAAGCUGACAGUGUGUGUGUGUGUGUGUGUGUGUAAGUGUGUAAGUGAGUGAGUGUAAGAGGCAAGGAGUUCACCCAGCUCUCUUUGCUGUUCAGUCAGCCAUGAGUUGCCUCUUUGGUAAUCUGAGGGCC
Molecule: small nucleolar RNA, 317 nt
Organism: Dicentrarchus labrax (European seabass)
Lineage: Eukaryota; Metazoa; Chordata; Actinopteri; Moronidae
Source: Ensembl